GGGUUAGACAGUACAGAGACGGGUCAUUGAGGAGCAGGUAGGUGUUAGACUACAGAGACAGGUCAUUAAGGAGCAGGUAGGGGUUGGGGGUUAAUCUUGCUCUAGAAUGCCUAAAGGUUAAUAUAUGGACAUUGGGGAUCUAACCCAGAACCUUUUGGCUGAGAGUCAAACACCCUCACCACUAGUUGUUUAUUUCCGUGCGUUAUCGGGAACGUACCCGGACCUAUGGUAACUAUUGUUGAGAAACAGUGUUGCCAUAGAAAUGUUUUGCAGUUGACGUAAUCUAAUAUCAACUUGAAGAUUGAACGAAAGUGUGUUAGAAUAGCUCUGGCUUCCUUCCUUCUUCGCGCUCUCUCCCCACUGGGCGAGCUGCCAGGUCACCGUGAUGCAGUCUUUCUCAACAUCCUUUAUUCAUAAAAGCUGAAGCUUCCUCCUUUGUCUUCUCUGGUGGCCAUCGCCCCUGCACUAGACUCUCAGCGCUGACGCUAACAGAGCUGACGCUAACAGAGCUGACGCUAACAGAACUGACGCUAACAGAGCUGACGCUAACAGAACUGACGCUAAAAGAGCCGACGCUAACCGAGCUAAUGAUAAACCGAGCUGACGCUAACCGAGCUAAUGAUAAACAGAGCUGACGCUAACAGAGCUGACGCUAA
Molecule: long non-coding RNA, 656 nt
Organism: Gadus morhua (Atlantic cod)
Lineage: Eukaryota; Metazoa; Chordata; Actinopteri; Gadiformes; Gadidae
Exons: 2
Source: RefSeq, a predicted model, not a curated record